Molecule: ribosomal RNA, 468 nt
Filed under: uncultured bacterium
Lineage: Bacteria
Description: partial 16S ribosomal RNA
Rfam family: Bacterial small subunit ribosomal RNA
Source: RNAcentral
GACGAACGCUGGCGGCGUGCUUAACACAUGCAAGUCGAACGGAAAGGCCCGGCAUUUGUGGGGUGCUCGAGGGGCGAACGGGUGAGUGACACGUGAGUAACCUGACCUUGACGUUGGGGUAACUUAAGGAAACGGGGGCGAAUACCGGAUAGGAGCGCAUGCGGCAUGGAGGGGGUUGGAAAGUUUCGGCGGAUGGGGAUGGACUCGCGGCUUAUCAGCUUGUUGGUGGGGUAGUGGCUUACCAAGGCGUUGACGGGUAGCCGGCCUGAGAGGGUGGCCGGCCCCCUUGGGACUGGGGUACGGGCCAGACUCCUACGGGAGGCAGCAGUGGGGAAUAUUGCACCAUGGGCGGAAGCCUGAUGCCGCAACGCCGCCUGCGGGAUGACGGCCUUCGGGUUGUAGUCCGCUUUCGCCUGUGACGAAGCGUUAGUGACGGUAAUGGGUAAAGAAGCACCGGCUAACUACGUG